GUUCAUCGGCGGAAGUGGUAUAUAGUUCUUUCGCGGUUGAAAGGAUGGAAAUUGUGACGCCCGGAUAAUUAAGCUACAAUAAACCUCUGCUGAUGAUGCCACAUCACCUCGGUUGCUGUUGUUAAUCUCGCGUUAGUUCAAAACCGAUUCGGAAUUCAAGUUUAAAAUAAAGGCAAACCACAAACGUUUUCAAACAUUGAAACUAAAAUGUUCUAAAGGUAUCGGAUAAAUCAUAGGUAAUUGUGAUGGUGAAACCAACUUUUAAUAAAAUAUUAAAAUACCCUAAAUAAUUAAAACAGGGGCCAAAACAAUAUUUUAAUUGCCUUUUAAUUUAUCAAAAAAAAUGCUAACUACUUUAACUCAUUCCCAAACUUGGUGGCACUGUAAAUAUGUGCAUCUCUAAAUAUGGGCCAAGUCUCAUAUUUCAUAGAAGUCAUUUGCUUUUAAAUAAAUUUAUAACAGUAAUAAAUAAAGGAAAACACAGAAUUCAAAAGGUAAGAGAAAAGAAAGUAAAAAGCCGAAGUGCACUGUGCACCUAACGGCCUGCCCAGCACAGUACGGCCUAGCCCAAGUCGCUCGGCCCUUCUUCAACCUCCUGCUCCUCCCCAUCGCGCUGGAGCUCGCGCGUCCGUUCCCGCGCCGAUCUCCACGCGUCGACCAUCCGUCGGCCCUGAGCGUGGAUAAGGAUACCCCGCUGCCCCCUCUAUCGAACCCUAGCGCCCCCACUCCCCUCUCUUCCCCUUCCCCUUCUCUCUGAGACGCCGCUCGACCCCCUCCUCACCGAGCGCCACUGUGGCCAUGGCCGCCGCGUAGUCGCGACCACCGCCUUCCCCGAGUACCUCCGACCAGCCCUGCAGCACCUCCACCGUCCUUUGCUUCGACUCCGCCACCUAGCGCCCGUCCGGAGCGCCUGCAUCGACGCCGAUGACCCCUUCUUCAACCUGGGACCUCCAUCGUCGCCGCCGUCGAAUUUCGGCCACACCGAGCAUCCCACGAGCACGCUGUGCGCACCUGGAGGCCCGCUGUGAGCUCCCCGUCCCCUCCGCCCUCUUCCCCUCGUAGGUCCAUGGCCGUAGCCGUCGUCUCCCCCUUGCCGAGCGCGCGCCGCCUCCUUUGGUCGCCGGCGUAGCUCCGUGACCGAAUGGCCAUGCACGCGCGACCGUAGCCUUGCCGCGACAUGUAGGCCCUUGCUAGCUCCUUACUCCGCUCGUUUGCGUGCUGCUGUCAUUCCUUCUUCACCCGAAUGCCGGCGUUCGCUUCACCCAUCGUCGGCGCCUACUCCGGCAGCCCCAGCUCCGGCCACCCCCCCGCUGCUUUCCCUCAAGCUCGUGCACGCCCGGGGCGCGCCUCGCCCCUGCGGCUGCGGCAGCCCUCGCCUGCACCCCGCGCCGCUCGCUGCCCCCCUGCGCCAGCGCCGGNNNNNNNNNNNNNNNNNNNNNNNNNNNNNNNNNNNNNNNNNNNNNNNNNNNNNNNNNNNNNNNNNNNNNNNNNNNNNNNNNNNNNNNNNNNNNNNNNNNNNNNNNNNNNNNNNNNNNNNNNNNNNNNNNNNNNNNNNNNNNNNNNNNNNNNNNNNNNNNNNNNNNNNNNNNNNNNNNNNNNNNNNNNNNNNNNNNNNNNNNNNNNNNNNNNNNNNNNNNNNNNNNNNNNNNNNNNNNNNNNNNNNNNNNNNNNNNNNNNNNNNNNNNNNNNNNNNNNNNNNNNNNNNNNNNNNNNNNNNNNNNNNNNNNNNNNNNNNNNNNNNNNNNNNNNNNNNNNNNNNNNNNNNNNNNNNNGGCCACCGCCCCCGCUACCUCCUCGAACGGCGACGCCGUCGUCCACCUACCGGCAACCCGGCGGCCCCCGUUCGCCCCUCCAGACGCGCGCGAGCGUGGGCAGCUCGCUGGUGCCCUCCACAGCCGCCGGCCACCGCUCCCCGAGCCACCUUCAGCCACCGGCGCCCGCUGCAGAUGCGCCCACGCAUCCCAGGCUGAUGUGGCGGGGCGUGCCCCCCUAUGCCACUGGCAAUGGGCCCCGCGGCCCUAGUUGACUGGUCAACUGGCCCAGUUGACCAGCUGACUGGGCAGUUGACCCAGGUCAACAGGGACCCACUGGUCAACCUCACUGGUGCACCUCUGGUGCACUGCACCGGGUGCACCCAGUUUUUAACUGCUGAUUUUCGAAAUAAAAAAAACAAAUAAGAAAAUUAUAGAAAAUGAUUUAAAAGUUUCAAAAUUAAUAGAAAAUAAACCGUAAGUCAGAUUAAAAUAUUUUAUAUAUGAAAGUUGCUCAGACGACGAGACGAAUCCGAAUACGCGGUCCGUUCGUUCGCCACAUGUCCCUAGCAUAGUGAACAUGCAACUUUUCUCCUCCAGAUCAUCUACCCGAAAACGCGAAACACCGGGAAUACUUUCCCAGAUGUUUCCCCCCUUCGCCGGUAGCACCUAAUACUGCGUUAGGUCAUUCCUAGCACCGCGUAUUGCCAUGUUAUGCUUUGUGAUGCUUUGAUUGCUCUGUUAUUUAUUGUGUUCCCCCUUCGUCACUUCUUUCCGGUAGACCCCGAGAUCGCGGUUGAACCAGUGAUCGACUACUUCACCUUCGAGGGCCCGUUUUUGUCCGCAGAGCAACCAGGCAAGCCCCCCCUUGAUCACCAGAUAUCGCCUAUUCUUCUCUAUACUGCUUGCAUUAGAGUAGUGUAGCAUGUUACUGCUUUCCGAUUAAUCCUAUUCUGAUGCAUAGCCUGUCUUUGCUACUACUUUUGUUACCUUUACCUGCAAUCCUACAUGCUUAGUAUAGGAUGCUAGUGUUCCAUCAGUGGCCCUACACUCUUGUCCGUCUGCCAUGCUAUACUACUGGGCCGUGAUCACUUCGGGAGGUGAUCACGGGUAUAUACUAUAUAGUUUAUAUACAUGACACAUGUGGUGACUAAAGUCGGGUCAGCUCGUUGAGUACCCGCAAGUGGUUCUGAUGAGGGGGCUGAAAGGACAGGUGGCACCAUCCCGGUAGAGGUGGGCCUGGGUUCCUGACGGCCCCCGACUGUUACUUUGUGGCGGAGCGACAGGGCAGGUUGCGACCACCUAGGAGAGAGGUGGGCCUGGCCCUGGUCGGCGUUCGCGGAUACUUAACACGCUUAACGAGAUAUUGGUAUUUGAUCUGAGUCUGGCCAUUUGGUCUAUACGCACUAACCAACUACGCGGGAACAGUUAUGGGCACUCGGUGUCGUGGUAUCAGCCAAAGCUCUUUUUGACGUUAGCGACUGAGUGGCGCGCGCCGCAUUGGACCCUAAGCUCGCGCUUGUAUUAAGGGGGCUAGGUCUGCUUCCGGCCGCGUACGCAACAUGCAGGUGUGCAAUGGGCGAUGGGCCCAGACCCCUGCGCGCAUAGGAUUUAGACCGGCGUGCUGACCUCUCUGUUGAGCCUAGGUGGGGCUGCGACGUGUUGAUCUUCCGAGGCCGGGCAUGACCCAGGAAAGUGUGUCCGGCCAAAUGGGAUCGAGCGUGUUGGGUUAUGUGGUGCACCCAUGCAGGGAAGUUUAUCUAUUCGAAUAGCCGUGUCCCUCGGUAAAAGGACGACCCGGAGUUGUACCUUGACCUUAUGACAACUAGAACCGGAUACUUAAUAAAACACACCCUUCCAAGUGCCAGAUAUAACCCGGUGAUCGCUCUCUAACAGGGCGACGAGGAGGGGAUCGCCGGGUAGGAUUAUGCUAUGCGAUGCUACUUGGUGAACUUACCAUCUACUCUCUUCUACAUGCUGCAAGAUGGAGGUGGCCAGAAGUGUAGUCUUCGACAGGAUUAGCUAUCCCCCUCUUAUUCUGGCAUUCUGCAGUUCAGUCCACCGAUAUGGCCCUUUACACAUAUACCCAUGCAUAUGUAGUGUAGCUCCUUGCUUGCGAGUACUUUGGAUGAGUACUCACGGUUGCUUUUCUCCCUCUUUUCCCCUUUCUAUACUUGGUUGUCGCAACCAGAUGCUGGAGUCCAGGAGCUAGAGAUUCCGAGGAUGAUUCUACGUGGAGUUCGGCUUCGAGGAGUAGUUAGGAGGUCCCAGGCAGGAGGCCUUGCCUUUUCGAUCGUUGCUACUUUUGUGCUAGCCUUCUUAAGGCAAUCUUGUUUAACUUAUGUCUGUACUCAGAUAUUAUUGCUUCCACUGACUCUUGUGUUUUCGAGCUUGUGUAUUCGAGCCUUCGAGGCCCCUGGCUUGUAAUAUAAAGCUUGUUUUAUUUUAAUUUGUGUCUAGAGUUGUGUUGUGAUAUCUUCCCGUGAGUCCUCGAUCUUGAUCGUACACAUUUGCGUGUAUGAUUAGUGUACGGUCAAAUCGGGGGAGUCACAAGUUGGUAUCAGAGCCGACUGCCUGUAGGAAUCCCCCUUCCACACUCCUUGGCCGAAGUCGAGUCUAGACAUUGCAAAACUUUUACUAACAUGGCUGUGUGUCUUACGGGCCCACGUCGCCACUGGGUGGUAUUAGGAUCUUUUAUUCCUCGUCUAUACUCUGGGCUCUUAUCUCUCUUCUAUUCGGGUUUAAUGAAUUUACUAAAAUCUAACUUUAGGUUCUCAAAAAUACUUUCUCCCGGAGAGCCCCUUCAGUCCAGAUGAUCGCCGGCUACACCAGAAGAUUCCGAAGAUAAUCUCCGAUGUCCUCUCGAGACACUUGUGCCCACCGCCUUUGCAAAUUCCCUACCACUGUUAUAUCAUUAUGGAUAACUACAUACACUUGCCCUUUCAAUCCCAUGGAUCUUGUUAUUACAAGAUACCCUGAAAAUUCUCUCUAUAGUUCCGAGAAUUCUUUGUGCCUACUGUCUUGCAGUUCAUUACCCACUAGAACACUCCUACGGAUAAUUCCUCGCACAUACCGAGUAUCCGCUCAUCCCCAGUUGUUUAUGUGUUUCACUAAGGUCUUUGAAAUACUAUUCGAUCUUCCGAAAAUCCUUAGCAGCUUAUUGCUCUUGAAAUUCUUGCUUGCUUUCAUUAUGGUUAAUCCCAUAAGUAUAGUAAUCUUAUUGGCAGCCCUUGUCACUAUCAUUUUGAGUCCAUUGAUUCAAUAUGUUGCGAAUGCUCGCAAUCCCCAAUCAGAUCCUAGAAUUCAUCCUUUCGGCUCAGAUGUCAUAUUAAGCAUGAGCUGGAUCUCGACCAAUCAAAUUGUUGUCGAUUUUACCCCUAAGCUUACACAACUUAUCCAUUCUUAAUCAGAGCGUUUGCUUCUGAUCCUUUGAUUUGGAAAUCAUAAUUCAUUUGCAUUUGAGCUUUGGAUUAGUUAGUUGUUUCUAUAAUCUGAUGCCUUUGCAUUCUUUUUCCUUCUGAUUGAGUACCGAUACUCACAUUAGAUUCCUUGUGGUCUGCGAGACCAAUUGCUUGGUUAUUAUCCGACAGUGUCCUUCAUAUCCAAUAACCUUGAGAGUUUCUCCCCUGAUACCUAAUGCCUUUGGUAAAUUGUGUCUUCUGCCUUUGGCAAGUAAUAUCCUAUGCCUUUGUCAACCAUGCUCUGCUUCGAGCAUGUCUUAAUUGAUCCUAAAGUUCAUGGUAUAUGUUCUAAGAUACCCCGAUGGGUUGAACCUAUGCCUUCCUUAAUCUGUGUGAACUCGAAAGUUUUCACGGGUCAUACUCCUCUGGUAAUUCACCAGGUAGGUUUUGACACUGAAAUUAUUUUUAUCUAGAGCAGUGAAUGAAAGGUUAGGCAUUGAAGAAGUGGGAGUCGACCUUGAACUUUGUGUUCAUGCCCAUGGACACGAUGUAGAUCUUAUCAUUAAAGCUUCUCUUAAAUUAAUUAUUCCCUUAGUAUAAGUUCUUAUAUCUGGGAUCCGGCCUUUUUCAAUCAUGGUUCCGACCAUGUUCUCCUUUAAAUACCUUUUCUCGUGCAAGUUUAAGCACUUGUCUUCUGCAGAGCAAUACCCUAGUCCAACCUCUAUUUUGAUCUACCUUUGAGUAUUACCCCCCUGGUAUCUCGAGGAUAUCAACCGAUUGCACUACAUCUUAUGCAUUUCUGACGAAGUAGUGCCUUUCCCCGUCAUAGUCACUCCACGGGUUCUGGGUUGUCGUCAACCGAAAACAUCGAUAAGUGAAUCGAUUCCGCGCUCCGAUACGAUAACUCUAAGUAAUUUUCAGUGCUUAUGAGUUUAAUAAUCCUUCAAUUCAUUCCUAGCCUGAUUGGCUAUAUCCUUAUCGUGCUAAAUUUUAACUGUGCUACCUGGUCCUUCUUCCUAGAGCACAACUUUCAACGAUGAGCUAAGCUCACGUCGAUCUGCCUCGUCUUAUCAUUCACCUCGAACAGCAAGCUUGAUUCUGAGUUGAUGUCGUACCCAUGGUUCCAAAAACCUUUUGCUUCAUCAUUCCUUUGACUUGAUGUCGUCACUGAUUGAUUACAUCUUCAUGAAAUCUCUUGACAAAUGUGUCGUGAUAUCAUCAACAUUUUGAGCUCUUCCAGGAUAUCAAUCAAAUUCAUGAUGGGAAAUACCAUCCUUGCCCCUCGAUGAUUGUGUUAUCAUCGACAACAUUCUUGCCUCCCCCCAACACAAACUUGUUCAUGUUAUGGAUGCAACUUGCUAUCCAGCUUGUAUGAUGUUCUACCUUGAAGUAUCAAUGUCUUUUAUGACAAGGAUAUUGUGAGGAUUGCUCCACCUCUUAAGAAUUCUUGGUAUAGUGAUACUUCUCACCAUCACCAUUCUUUCUUGGUCCUCGUGUUGAUUCCAACCGGGGUACCAACAAGUGAACGGUGAUGUUUCGAUUCUGCCCUUCUAGCAACCCUAUUGCUUUGAAGUUAAUGGUCGGCUGUUCAUUCUUAGACUAUUGAUUAUUGAAUCACCAUUCCGACGUUAGUCGUGCAACCCAGCCCAUAUUUUGGGUGCACCUUUCAACCAAUGUUUAAUUGUGUAUGUUUUCCUCGAGCAUAGAUCAUUAUAUCGUUUGAUCUGACAAGUGUUACCUCCUUGUUCACAUCAUUGUGGAAAUCCAUCUUUUGUUAAUCUCGAUGAAUAGUCGCUGAGUCCAUCAGCCACCUCCUCAUCCUCUCCUUGGUUUAAUGGUGAACUCUUGUUUUGGAAAUCACUUCCAUUGAUCAUUUACCGAGAAUCUUACGAUGUCAUCUCGUCAAUUUGUGUUGCACCUUUUCUUUUCAGGAAUCCCGUGUCUGAGUUAUCUUGACACCAAUCAGAUCUGAAUCUCGGUCAGAUAUGAUGGUUGGAACAUAUUUUCAAGAGUUAUAACAUGAAUCCUCUUAUGACCCGGUAAGGUGAUGUCAUGCACACCUGACCGGAGGACCAAGUGUUAUAGUUUCCUUUUUAACAAGGUUAACCAUUUUUCCAUGAGGAAAUUGAAUGCCUUGUUUAAUAAGUUUAUCCCGAUGGAUCCUUUGUGUAUCCAAAGUCCGACCUUUGCUUGAAGACCAUGUCAAUGCUAUCUCGAAACAUGUCUAUGGUACUCUGAUUUCCAAUAAAAACAUUUGAAGCACAAUGCUAAAUUUUCUUUAUCAAUUAUCCAAACACCGUUGUAUGGGUAAUGGCAUGCAAUUUCUCUCCCCUUACCUAAAGAGUCUUCUACAUUAUAUCCUGUCAUGGAUAUCAUGCUCUGCUUAUCCUUGGGAAGGAUAUACCCUUGAAGUGUGUGCUUAAACACAUUUUCCUUUCCAUUGUCCCGUUUAAUCUGACAAUCAUAUUUUCCUUUCCAUUGUUUGGUUUAACCUUUCUGGUGAUCUAUAUAAUCUAAGCAGUAAUAAUUCACUGCUUAUGUUAACACCUCGGUGUACAACUCUGUUAGUGAGACCCUGUUUCUAUUGUUGAUGACAUUCGAGUAACCACCGAUGGACGAGAACUUUGCCUAUUGGUCCGCCUCGUUCAGCGAGCAGGAAAAUAGUUCUCUUUGUCCCUCGCCCUUGGUACCGACAUUGUUGCCGACAUAACUGAUAGGCUACCCUCUGACAUGUCUUGCUAUCAUGACCGUGCAAGAUGUCAACGCCCUUCCUACUUUUAACCACAUGGUGGGCCCAUAACCCACAGUUCCACAGGAUCGAAACCUGACUCUCCUGUACACCCAUAUUGCCAAAGUUAUUUCCUCGCGCUUGAUUUUGUAUGUAAUUCAUGGGUCAUCUUCCUAGAAAUCUACUUUGGUAUCGGACACAAUACUUAUUUCUCGUUGCUCUGGUCCCCUUUCCCACUUUGUUCAUGCAUCGAACGAUUGCCUACCCGCUUAAACUUCUCAUGGUAACUUCUUACUUUGCUCUCGAAAUUUUCUGAAGUUUCAGUUCGAGAGUUUCUUCCCGCCACCUUCCCCGAUGUUAGCUACCAGGUAGUCAACCUUGUAGAAUUCCGUUCUCUUGGAAUACCAAUCCUUUAUUCUUUUGUAUGUACAAUGGAGUUCCCGAAGAAAGGAUGCUGACUUCAUCAUCAUCACCUGAAGCAGAGAAAUAAAGACAUCAACGAAGAGAAUCAACUACUUCAGGAAGAGCAACAACCACCGAGAAGACUCGUUAGAAUUUCUUAACCAAAUCCCUUUCCCCCUUAUCCCACCUCUUAAAUCUCGGGACGAGAUUUCUUGUAGUGGAGGAGAAUUGUGACGCCCGGAUAAUUAAGUUACAGUAAACCUCUGCUGAUGAUGCCACAUUACCUCGGUUGCUGUUCUUAAUCUCGCGUUAGUUCAAAACCGAUUCGAAAUUCAAGUUUAAAAUAAAGGCAAACGACAAACGUUUUCAAACAUUGAAACUAAAAUGUUCUAAAGGUAUCGGAUAAAUCAUAGGUAAUUGUGAUGGUGAAACCAACUUUUAAUAAAAUAUUAAAAUACCCUAAAUAAUUAAAACAGGGGCCAAAACAAUAUUUUAAUUGCUUUUUAAUUUAUCAAAAAAAGUGCUAACUACUUUAACUCAUUCCCAGACUUGGUGGCACUGUAAAUAUGUGCAUCUCUAAAUAUGGGCCAAGUCUCAUAUUUCAUAGAAGUCAUUUGCUUUUAAAUAAAAUUUAUAACAGUAAUAAAUAAAAGAAAAC
RNAcentral lists this long non-coding RNA (8940 nucleotides) under Triticum aestivum (bread wheat). Its description in RNAcentral is "long non-coding RNA (TAES_LNC017594)". The record is from RNAcentral. Lineage: Eukaryota; Viridiplantae; Streptophyta; Magnoliopsida; Poales; Poaceae.